UGGGGAAUCUUGCGCAAUGGGCGAAAGCCUGACGCAGCGACGCCGCGUGAGCGAUGAAGGCCCUCGGGUUGUAAAGCUCUGUGGAUGGGAAAGAAUAAGUGCAAGUUAACACCUUGCAUGAUGACGGUACCCAUUUAGCAAGCACCGGCUAACUCUGUG
RNAcentral lists this ribosomal RNA (159 nucleotides) under uncultured bacterium. Its description in RNAcentral is "partial 16S rRNA". It matches the Rfam family "Bacterial small subunit ribosomal RNA", at positions 355 to 507 of the family's 1533-position model. The record is from RNAcentral.